Molecule: long non-coding RNA, 993 nt
Organism: Gigantopelta aegis
Lineage: Eukaryota; Metazoa; Mollusca; Gastropoda; Neomphalida; Peltospiridae
Exons: 2
Source: RefSeq, a predicted model, not a curated record
ACGUCAACAAUAGUUUUACGUUUUAAUAUGUUUUUUGAUGUCAAAGCGAUACUUCGUACAUUAUUUAGAAUAUAAGUUAACUCCAGAAUUGUGCUAACAGAAUCGCUGUGACAUUUAAAAUCAUAUUUAUUUUAAAUGUGUGUAAAUGUAAAUUGUACAUGGAUCUAAUACUACCCAAUAACAACCGCUUUUGCAAGAUUUUCUACAAGUGUUGAGUCGAUAUAUAAAUAGAGAUAGGACACUACGCAUCACAGCCUUUGAUAAACAAGUCACGUGACGCUGGUUGGUACGGGGAAGAAACAAAACGAUGGGUCUUCCGAGGUGUUUAGAUUCUACAACCUCAGGCGAGCGCUUUACCGACUGAGCUAAUUCCCGCUACGUGUACAGUUGGUGUUCUCCAUGCUGACGUUUAAACAACCGUGUGGCGUAGUAAAACUGGCGCUAAAACUGCAUGUUGUAUCAAGGCAGUUGACGUACGAUAUCAUUCUUCUUCUUGUUGUUCUUGUAAUGCGAAAGCUCAGACAGGAAUCCCAGUAGCUCGAACAAAUGCUGAGUCGAAUAGUUUCUCGUUCAGGGAUUGAUCUGAAGACCAGACUUCACUCUCCACUGCUCCUGAUAGUGGGGCAGUGUUGCAGGAAAUGAUCGCGGUCCAGAGUAUGAUAACCGAUGGCAGUGAAAAACUCUUGAGUUAAUCAAAGCUGUGUUUGUGUGCAGCAACGUUAAAUAGUGAGGAAUAGUGAUUAUAGAUGUCUCAAUAAAUAAUCUGUGUUUGCACGUGCCUAUAAAUGACAUAUAAAACCAAUCUCUAUUGUACAAAGUUAUUACAUUUUAAAGGAGCACAGGCACUUCAAAAAGGUCUUCAAAUUCCGGAGAAGAAAACAUCAGCAAUGCCAACAGUGCGCGGAUUUUGUUAAACGUUUAUAUUCUGCACUUGCAGUAAACUAUUUUACAGUAUAUGUAAAUUAUCUUAACAGAUAAAUCAUUUAAACUCAA